CGAGCGAAGCGGGAUGAGCUCAAAUUUGAAAUCUGGCGUCUUUCAGGCGUCCGAGUUGUAAUCUAUAGAAGCGUUUUCUGUGCUGGACCGUGUCCAAGUCCCUUGGAACAGGGUAUCAAAGAGGGUGACAAUCCCGUACUUGACACGACCACCAGUGCUCUGUGAUACGUUUUCGACGAGUCGAGUUGUUUGGGAAUGCAGCUCAAAAUGGGUGGUAAAUUCCAUCUAAAGCUAAAUAUUGGCGAGAGACCGAUAGCGAACAAGUACCGUGAGGGAAAGAUGAAAAGCACUUUGGAAAGAGAGUUAAACAGUACGUGAAAUUGUUGAAAGGGAAACGAUUGAAGUCAGUCGUGUCUAUUGGUUUCAGCCGGUCCUGCCGGUGUAUUACCUUUAGACGGGUCAACAUCAGUUUUGGACGGCAGAUAAGGGCAGUUUGAAGGUAGCACCUCCGGGUGUGUUAUAGCUUUCUGCCGCAUAUGCUGUCCGAGACUGAGGACUGCAGCUCGCCUUUCAGGCCGGGGUUCGCCCACGUUCGAGCUUAGG
This 543-nucleotide ribosomal RNA is filed under the name Derxomyces boekhoutii. Its description in RNAcentral is "LSU rRNA". It matches the Rfam family "Eukaryotic large subunit ribosomal RNA", at positions 90 to 621 of the family's 3401-position model. Lineage: Eukaryota; Fungi; Basidiomycota; Tremellomycetes; Tremellales; Bulleribasidiaceae. The record is from RNAcentral.